This 467-nucleotide ribosomal RNA is filed under the name uncultured bacterium. RNAcentral's name for it is "partial 16S ribosomal RNA". It matches the Rfam family "Bacterial small subunit ribosomal RNA", at positions 28 to 507 of the family's 1533-position model. The record is from RNAcentral.
GAUGAACGCUGGCGGCGUGCUUAACACAUGCAAGUCGAACGGAAAGGCCCAAGCUUGCUUGGGUACUCGAGUGGCGAACGGGUGAGUAACACGUGGGUGAUCUGCCCUGCACUUCGGAAUAAGCCUGGGAAACUGGGUCUAAUACCGGAUAGGACCACUUCUUGGAUGUUGUGGUGGAAAGUUUUUUCGGUGUGGGAUGAGCUCGCGGCCUAUCAGCUUGUUGGUGGGGUAAUGGCCUACCAAGGCGUCGACGGGUAGCCGGCCUGAGAGGGUGUACGGCCACAUUGGGACUGAGAUACGGCCCAGACUCCUACGGGAGGCAGCAGGGGGGAAUAUUGCACAAUGGGCGCAAGCCUGAUGCAGCGACGCCGCGUGGGGGAUGACGGCCUUCGGGUUGUAAACUCCUUUCGCUAGGGACGAAGCGUUUUGUGACGGUACCUGGAGAAGAAGCACCGGCUAACUACGUG